UACGGAGGAUGCGAGCGUUAUCCGGAUUUAUUGGGUUUAAAGGGUGCGUAGGCGGGCUUUUAAGUCAGCGGUAAAAAUUCGGGGCUCAACCCCGUCCGGCCGUUGAAACUGGCGAUCUUGAGUGGAAGAGAAGUAUGCGGAAUGCGUGGUGUAGCGGUGAAAUGCAUAGAUAUCACGCAGAACCCCAAUUGCGAGGGCAGCAUGCCGGCUUCCUACUGACGCUGAAGCACGAAAGCGUGGGGAUCGAACAGG
This 252-nucleotide ribosomal RNA is filed under the name uncultured Bacteroidales bacterium. RNAcentral describes it as "partial 16S ribosomal RNA". It matches the Rfam family "Bacterial small subunit ribosomal RNA", at positions 524 to 776 of the family's 1533-position model. Lineage: Bacteria; Pseudomonadati; Bacteroidota; Bacteroidia; Bacteroidales. The record is from RNAcentral.